AGGUGUCAUGUCAUGUUCAUUUUCGGACCCGUAUUCAGUGGUUUCUCGGUGUAACGUCAUAAAAAGUCCGAACUCUGUCAGAAGUUGAUUUAAUUUAUAAUUCAGCAAUACAAAAUUAAUUAACAUUAAUAUUAAAAGUCAUUUAAAUAUGUUAUCGUCAAAAAACCCGACCCUCCCGUCCCUUUUUGGUGGGGGCCGUAGGGGUAAGGCGGCAGGUGGGGGCUCCGGAUAUCACUGUAGGCUGGGAUGUCUGCGUGUGCGUCGGCGGUGCAGUGCAGCUUUAACCGGUCCAUCAUGCCUUGCGGUGUCCCACUUGUGUUCAGACGUAAUUUACAGCAGCAGCAGCAGCAGCAGUAGAAUCCGAAUCUCUGCCUCUGUGUGAGUGUGUUUGCUCUCACUUCAGUCACAGCAGCAGCAGCAGUAGCAGCAGUGUUGUUAUUAUUGGAUGUCCCGUGACUGGACAGACUGUUUACAUCCACAGCGUUUACCGCUGCAGACGCGAAACGGGGCUCGGAAACAGGACCUGGACCUGCCGGUACUGGGCCGCAUGACAAGCACCGGAACCAAGUGCUGGGUUUUGAUUCCGAGAGAGAAAUAAGUGAAGAUACAGACAACAAGCAGAGGAGACCGGGCCAUGCUGUGACUCUGCAGUCAUACAUACAGAAUGAAGUUUACCUACCAUUAGCACCCUCUUGUGGUGUGGAGGAAUGAGGGCCUUUGGAUGAAGGCCAUGGAGCUAAAAGUGUGGGUGGAUGGAGUGCAGCGCAUUGUGUGUGGGGUCACAGAGUUCACCACAUGCCAGGAAGUGGUCAUCGCUUUGGCGCAAGCCAUUGGUCGAACUGGCAGAUACACGUUGAUCGAGAAGUGGCGGGAUACCGAGCGACACCUCGCGCCAAAUGAAAACCCUGUGGUGUCCCUCAACAAGUGGGGUCAGUACGCCAGCGACGUGCAGCUCAUCCUCCAAAGAACAGGGCCGUCGAUCAGCGAGCGGCCCACCUCUGAUGUCCAAGGUCGCAUCCCAGAGCGAGGCUUCUACCGGCAGAGCUUACCUCCUCUGGCUAAAUUCCGACAGUCGGUGGCCGACCACUCGCUGAGACGACGGGAACCCAAGCGCAAGUCUCUGACCUUUUCUGGAGGGGCCAAGAGUCUGAGGGAAAUAUUUGGCAGACACAGAGAUUCUGGAGCCAAACAGUCCCAGUCGCGCAGCGUGAGCCUGAACUUGAGCAGAGUUGGAGCUGGUGGAGUAGCAUCUGUGCCUGGGAGUCCGGCCAGAGAGCUGAGCCGACUGGUGCAGCUACAGAGAGACAAACUCCAGGCUCUGGAGAGCCGUCUGCUGGGCUGUGAGGCUGAGCUGGGAGACUGGGAGGAGGCUGCUUUCGACGCCAUUGAGAGAGAGAAGUUGGAGGAGGAGCUGCUGCUGCUGGAGCAGCAGGUGAGGAGGAACGACGCUGAGGUGGAGGAAGAGGAGUUCUGGCAGAACGAGCUUCAGAUUGAGCUGGAGAGCGAGCAACAACUGCGGCUGCAGUUGGCUGAACUGCAGGGUCGCGUUCGUGACUGCGAGGCUGAGCUUUUAGACUAUUUGACGCGAAUACAGAGCAUGGAAACUGGUCUGGAGCAGGAGCAGCUUCACCUGGAGGCCGAGCUCAACCAGAGGGUCAGCGAAGAAGAGGCCCAUUCCCAGUUGGAGAAAGUGAAGGCAGAGCUGGAAAUGCAGAGCCAACAAACGUCACAGCUGGAGAGCAGCUGCAGGGCGUUGGAACGCUCUCUCAACCAGUCAGGCAAGAGAUUACAGGAGAAAGAGCAGGAGCUGGAGCAGCUGACGAAGGAGCUGCGACAGGUCAACCUGCAGCAGUUCAUCCAGCGGACCGGCACCAAAGUCACUGUGCUGCCUUCACAGCCCACCACAGAGGACGUCAGUGAAGUAGACCCCGACUCUGUGAGGAGACAAGCCUCGCCCCGCCUCCUCCCCACUGACCUCCGCAAUCUGCAAAGCACCACCUCCUCCACCUUUAACCCCGAGGGAAUCUACGUUUGAUCUGAGAGAAGUUGUUGUCACAGUCACCUCACGUUGUUUUUACCAUAACGUUAAAAAAAACAGACCCUUUAUUUGAACUAAGAACCUCCUCCACUGAUGUCACCACUUUGGAAAUUGUUGAGAAAAACGGCAGCGGACGACGAGUGGGGUCAUGGUUUAAAAAAAGAAAAAGGUUUGAUCUAUUUUGCACUGCCUUUAUCCUUUAUCAUCCCUCUGGACUGAUUUUCUGAGUGAUGUCAGCAUCCAUCUGCGAACGAACAUUAAACCUAACGACUGUCGUCAAAUGAAUGAACAAGUGACGGAACGGAACCCAAACCAGCAGACCUGUUGUCAGCAGCUGCAGCGGCUGAAGACGCCACAGCAGAGCGAAUUCUAUCGUUGUACACAUCCCGGACGGAAGUGAACAUAUGCAUAGACGGAGAGAAUCAUGCAUGAGCAUGUGACGUCACACGUGUGCUAUCACCAUAGCCAUAUCUGAUUGCCUUACUCUGCAUCAACCUACAACUUGGACCAGACAAUUUUGGCCCAAAGAGACCGAGCCGACCCAGACUUAAGAACCAACUCAGCCCAACUCCAAACAGAGUGGAUCCUUUUGUGACCCAAUGUUGGGCCAAAACAACUAAUUUGACCCAAACUUUAGGACAUAAAAUGACCAACAGAUUUUUUCAAACUUGUAACAAGGCUAGCCUCAUUUACCCAGGCUCUGGGCCAGAAGUGGAACAAUUUAUAGGCAUAGGUCCAAUAACCCUGUAAAGUUGUCCCUGAUUUGGGCUAAUGUUGGACCAAAAGGUCAACUUUGGGACUAACACAACCCAGAAACAACAAUUUGUUCCCAUUACAGUGACAUAAAAUAUCCCACAUGUGGUACAGCCCAGACUGGUAUGGGCCACAAAUGGACCUCGGUUCAUGACAUGGUGUCUUAUCAUGUGGGAUGGAUACGUGGGAGUGUUCUCUAAGGGUCUGGGUGCAGGGAGAUAUUUUUGAAUUUCGACUUUUGUCCUAACAAUUUGCUUGAACCUGCGACCCAACAGUUUGGUCCAUUUCUUAUAUACGGUGCAGGAAACUGUUGGGUAACUUUUUGAGUUUUAAACACAAUCUUUUCUAUGUGUUUGAUUUCACCUGGAUAUUUAUUUUUUUUACCAUUUCCUGGCUGAGAAACCUCCUGAGUGACUCCGUCAUGUCGGUAGAUCUCUGAGUUCUGACGUACAGGACGUGUUCCACGGAAGCAUGUGUUGCAGGGGAAUUGUUGAGAGCCGUGGCUCCGUUGUUUGCAUUGAUGUAACUGUAGAAAUUCACACUUCCCUUUCACAUGAAUAGCAUGCCUUACUGAGAAGAAGAAGAAAAAAAAACCCUGCUCUAAUAUCUACAUAUCUACAUACCACACCAGUCUGUAGGGUAUUUUUAAGUAGCCUAAAGUGUGAAAUAGCUGUGAGUGUGAGAGUUAGAUUCCUGCUCUACGUGUUUGUCUGGACUCUUAAUCACUGGCUUUUCACGGACGUGAUAAUUCAUCUGAGAUUUAUCGGGUUUAUGUUUAGCCUUGGCCUUUUAGCCCUGGUGACAUUUACGCUGAUGGAAAUAUUGUUUAAAGAGCAGCUCAGUGUAAACAAUCAGAAAAAAACAAGCCAGACCUUCACAUUAUUUCCCCGUAAACAAAAAGAUAUAUUUUUAAAUUUUAAAUCCACUCCUGUUGUUACGGACCGUGACAACAGACAUUUAGCCAAUGGCUGUCUCCAGGCUCUGUCAUCAGUCGUUCAAUAACGGAGCACACGACUGACAGGAUGAUGGAGCCAUUAUGGAAGCAGCCAUCAAGUGGCUUUGAAAGCUCCACCAGAAAAU
Molecule: RNA transcript, 3871 nt
Organism: Cynoglossus semilaevis (tongue sole)
Lineage: Eukaryota; Metazoa; Chordata; Actinopteri; Pleuronectiformes; Cynoglossidae
Gene: rassf8b
Gene name: Ras association domain family member 8b
Exons: 10
Source: RefSeq, a predicted model, not a curated record